This 255-nucleotide ribosomal RNA is filed under the name uncultured bacterium. RNAcentral's name for it is "partial 16S ribosomal RNA". It matches the Rfam family "Bacterial small subunit ribosomal RNA", at positions 526 to 779 of the family's 1533-position model. The record is from RNAcentral.
CGUAGGUGGCAAGCGUUAUCCGGAAUUACUGGGCGUAAAGCGCACGCAGGUGGUUUGCUAAGUUUGACGUGAAAGCGCCUGGCUUAACUGGGCGAGGUCGUUGGAGACUGGCAGACUAGAGGUGAGGAGAGGGGUGUAGAAUUCCCGGUGUAGUGGUGGAAUGCGUAGAUAUCGGGAGGAAUACCAGUGGCGAAAGCGGCACCCUGGCCUUGGCCUGACGCUCAUGUGCGAAAGCGUGGGGUAGCAAACGGGAUU